CCCUGGUUAGCUCAGUUGGUAGAGCGCUCCCCUCAAAAUUGAGUGGUCACUGGUUGGAUACCAGGACCAGGCG
RNAcentral lists this transfer RNA (73 nucleotides) under Ixodes scapularis (black-legged tick). Its description in RNAcentral is "tRNA-Leu for anticodon CAA". It matches the Rfam family "tRNA". From Rfam's summary of the family: Transfer RNA (tRNA) molecules are approximately 80 nucleotides in length. Their secondary structure includes four short double-helical elements and three loops (D, anti-codon, and T loops). Lineage: Eukaryota; Metazoa; Arthropoda; Arachnida; Ixodida; Ixodidae. The record is from RNAcentral.